GCCAGUGUGGCUCAGUGGAUAGAGCAUCAGCCUGUGAACUGAAGGGUCCCGGGUUCGAUUCCCGGUCAGGGCA
RNAcentral lists this transfer RNA (73 nucleotides) under Myotis lucifugus (little brown bat). It matches the Rfam family "tRNA". From Rfam's summary of the family: Transfer RNA (tRNA) molecules are approximately 80 nucleotides in length. Their secondary structure includes four short double-helical elements and three loops (D, anti-codon, and T loops). The record is from Rfam by way of RNAcentral. Lineage: Eukaryota; Metazoa; Chordata; Mammalia; Chiroptera; Vespertilionidae.